GACGAACCGUGCGAACGUUGUUCGGAAUCACUGGGCUUAAAGGGCGCGUAGGCGGCGCGUCAAGUCGGGGGUGAAAGCGUUCGGCUCAACCGGACCAGGGCCCCCGAUACUGACACGCUCGAGGGAGGCAGGGGCCGACGGAACUUCCGGUGGAGCGGUGAAAUGCGUUGAUAUCGGAAGGAACGCCGGUGGCGAAAGCGGUCGGCUGGACCUCUUCUGACGCUGAGGCGCGAAAGCCAGGGGAGCGAACGGG
This 253-nucleotide ribosomal RNA is filed under the name uncultured Gemmata sp. RNAcentral's name for it is "partial 16S ribosomal RNA". It matches the Rfam family "Bacterial small subunit ribosomal RNA", at positions 524 to 776 of the family's 1533-position model. Lineage: Bacteria; Pseudomonadati; Planctomycetota; Planctomycetia; Gemmatales; Gemmataceae. The record is from RNAcentral.